Onychostoma macrolepis is the source of this 1011-nucleotide long non-coding RNA. RefSeq lists it as uncharacterized. The transcript is spliced from 3 exons. Lineage: Eukaryota; Metazoa; Chordata; Actinopteri; Cypriniformes; Cyprinidae. The record is from RefSeq and is a predicted model, not a curated record.
GUGCGAGUCAGUCUCUUAUACACAUCACGUGAUGGUGAUGAUGAUGAGGUAAAACCGAAAGUGAAAGUAAAGCUGAACAGCAGCUCGGCUCCAGAAACCAUAUUAUAUUCAGUGAAAAUGGUGACGAGACCCAAAACAAUCCCUGAGAUAUCAGCGAUCAGCUCCAGUCCAGAUGAUCCAGUGAUCCGGAUUCUUCUGAUGAGGCUCAUCUGUACUGGGAGAAAAGGGAUUCAUAAUGAAAAGCAUGAAGUUGAAGUUUGUGAGGAGAAAACAUAGGUGGAUGUGAAGCAGGUGAAUGUGACUUCACUUCACUGAGGUUAAAUAAUGGAGAAACUCAAAGAAUCGUGCAUCACACGUUGAAAACUCUUCAACUCUCUAAUGGGAUUGAGUGAAGAAAGAGCGCUUCACACACCGAAUGAACCGGACCCGAACAUUCAGAAUGAACUGGUCUGAAGUUACAUUACACAGUUUAACACGUUAGUUGGAGCAGGUGGACUGGAAUAUACCGGACCGAGGAGACGUUCAAAACUCAUCGGUCUAUCACAAAUAGGAAAAUUUGUAUGCAUGUAUGUAUGUAUGUAUGUAUCUAUCUAUCUAUCUAUGGACUUAAUUUCUAGCGAUUAUCGUCGAUUUGAUUGCACAGAUACUAUUUAAACUAAACUGAGCUAGACAAUGACCUCUCUGAAUUCAAUAAUGAAAUGCCUUUAACUGAAAAUUGAGUGUUUAAUCUUAUCAUUAUACAUUACUGACACUCUAUCCUCCAAUUUGAUACUGUUAAGUGCUUUGACACAAUCUGUAUUGUUAAAAGCGCUAUAUAAAUAAAGGUGACUUGACUUGACUUAUGGAUAGAAAAUGAUGGAACUGCUUAAAACUGUCCUGACACUCACUUGAGGAGCUUUUUCUUCUUUUUCUCACACCUGAAGAAGUCUGCAGUCAAAAGGUGGGGUACAGAUUUGGGAACGGAUGACUUGUUUUUUAUUUCGUCUUGACUCCACCUUCUGCUGUUUUCCG